This 318-nucleotide unclassified non-coding RNA is filed under the name Hevea brasiliensis (rubber tree). Lineage: Eukaryota; Viridiplantae; Streptophyta; Magnoliopsida; Malpighiales; Euphorbiaceae. The record is from RNAcentral.
AAAAAAAAAAAAAAAAAUCCCAGUAGGCACCAUUGAAAGAAUUGCGCCUGAUAUCUAAGCAAAUAUAAUCUGACAAAAUGCACGGCAUUGCACCAAAUUCAAACAAUGGAAACAGAUAAUUAAAGAUUAGAUUUAAAAGUUAGCAACACAAAAUUAUUGUUACUAUUUAUUAUUAAUUACUGCUAAACAUGUGUACUAGCUCUUAGUUUCAAACUAAUUAGAGUUAAACAUAUGAAUCUGCUAUGUCCAUUCUAUUUAUGACCAAAAUUUCAAAGAAUUUUAACCAUUAAAUGGCAAAGAAUUUGACAUAACUUAAUU